AAUCAACGCUGGCGGCGUGCCUCAGACAUGCAAGUCGAACGCGAAAGUUCCCUUCGGGGGAUGAGUAGAGUGGCGCACGGGUGAGUAACACGUAGGUAAUCUACCUUCGGAUGGGGAAUAACAACCGGAAACGGUUGCUAAUACCGCAUAAUGCAGCGGCACCUAAUGGUGACAGUUGUUAAAGCGGGGGAUCGAAAGACCUCGCGUCUGAAGAGGAGCCUGCGGCGGAUUAGCAGUUGGUAGGGUAACGGCCUACCAAGGCUACGAUCCGUAGCCGGCCUGAGAGGGCGGUCGGCCACACUGACACUGACAUACGGGUCAGACUCCUACGGGAGGCAGCAGUCGGGAAUUUUGGGCAAUGGGCGAAAGCCUGACCCAGCAACGCCGCGUGAAGGAUGAAAUCCCUCGGGAUGUAAACUU
RNAcentral lists this ribosomal RNA (420 nucleotides) under uncultured bacterium. RNAcentral's name for it is "bacterial SSU rRNA". It matches the Rfam family "Bacterial small subunit ribosomal RNA", at positions 32 to 432 of the family's 1533-position model. The record is from RNAcentral.